CGGCACGGGUGAGUAACACGUAUCCAACCUGCCGUCUACUCUUGGCCAGCCUUCUGAAAGGAAGAUUAAUCCAGGAUGGCAUCAUGAGUUCACAUGUCCGCAUGAUUAAAGGUAUUUUCCGGUAGACGAUGGGGAUGCGUUCCAUUAGAUAGUAGGCGGGGUAACGGCCCACCUAGUCAACGAUGGAUAGGGGUUCUGAGAGGAAGGUCCCCCACAUUGGAACUGAGACACGGUCCAA
RNAcentral lists this ribosomal RNA (238 nucleotides) under uncultured bacterium. RNAcentral's name for it is "partial 16S ribosomal RNA". It matches the Rfam family "Bacterial small subunit ribosomal RNA", at positions 100 to 334 of the family's 1533-position model. The record is from RNAcentral.